This 1243-nucleotide ribosomal RNA is filed under the name metagenome. RNAcentral's name for it is "bacterial LSU rRNA". It matches the Rfam family "Bacterial large subunit ribosomal RNA", at positions 1564 to 2816 of the family's 2925-position model. The record is from RNAcentral.
UGAGUACGAGAUGCUACGGCAUCGAAGCAGUCUAUGUCAUACUUCCAAGAAAAGCUUGCACUGUCAGAAACAGAUAAUGCCUGUACCAUAACCGACACAGGUGGGUAGGUAGAGUAUACUAAGGGGCGCGAGAUAACUCUCUCUAAGGAACUCGGCAAAAUGACUCCGUAACUUCGGGAGAAGGAGUGCCUUAUUUUUAAGGUUGCAAUAACAAGAUCCAAGCAACUGUUUACCAAAAACACAGGUCUCCGCUAAGUCGUAAGACGAUGUAUGGGGGCUGACGCCUGCCCAGUGCCAGAAGGUUAAAGAAGUCGGUUAGCAUUCGCGAAGCUGGUAACUGAAGCCCUGGUGAACGGCGGCCGUAACAAUAACGGUCCUAAGGUAGCGAAAUUCCUUGUCGGGUAAGUUCCGACCCGCACGAAAGGCGUAAUGAUUUGGAUACUGUCUCGGAGAGGGGCUCGGUGAAAUAGACUUGUCUGUGAAGAUGCGGACUACCUGCACCUGGACAGAAAGACCCUAUGAAGCUUUACUGUAACUUGAAAUUGAAAUUGGACUUUAUUUGCGCAGUAUAGGUGGGAGGCGUUGAAAAUAUUCUUGCGGGAAUAUUGGAGCCAUCAGUGAGAUACCACUCUUGUAAUGUUAGAUUUCUAACUUUAUAUCAUUAUCUGGUUAAAGAACAGUUUCAGGCGGGCAGUUUGACUGGGGCGGUCGCCUCCCAAAUGGUAACGGAGGCGCACAAAGGUUUCCUCUGAACGGGUAGAAAUCGUAUCUAGAGUGUAAAGGCAUAAGGAAGCUUGACUGUGAGACCUACAAGUCGAGCAGGGACGAAAGUCGGUCUUAGUGAUCUGACGGUGCUGAGUGGAAAGGCCGUCACUCAACGGAUAAAAGUUACUCUAAGGAUAACAGGCUGAUCUCCCCCAAGAGUUCACAUCGACGGGGAGGUUUGGCACCUCGAUGUCGGCCCAUCGCAUCCUGGGGCGGUAGUACGUCCCAAGGGUUGGGCUGUUCGCCCAUGAAAGCGGUACGCGAGCUGGGUUCAGAACGUCGUGAGACAGUUCGGUCCAUAUCCGGUGUAGGCGUUAGAAUAUUGAGAGGAGCCUUCUUUAGUACGAGAGGACCGAGAAGGACAUACCUCUGGUGUACCAGUUAUCGUGCCAACGGUAAACGCUGGGUAGCUAUGUAUGGAGUGGAUAACCGCUGAAAGCAUCUAAGUGGGAAGCCCACCUCAAGAUAAGUAUUCUCA